Non-coding RNA from Drosophila melanogaster (fruit fly), 393 nucleotides. The record is from Ensembl. Lineage: Eukaryota; Metazoa; Arthropoda; Insecta; Diptera; Drosophilidae.
GCGAGUAUUUUUACUGGACGGAAUACCACGUUAGACCACGUUUACCACGUAAUUCAAAUAAACCAGUCAAAACUCAACAGUGGAACAACAGUAGUAACAGCAGUACAAGAAUACUCGUAAAACGGUUUACUCUGUGAAAAGUCUCUGCCUGCCGCUGACAUUUAAACUGUCACAUUUUUCGGCGAACCUCGCCAAGCUUGGAUGAAGAACAUGUUGAGUUUUUUUUAGGGUCUAUUUAGGGUAUAUCGAACGGCGGCCCGUACCGAACCGAUUGAGUUAAAGUGUAUCAUAGCAAUACCGGUGCGAUCAACACUUAAUUGUUAACUGAAUGCAGAAGCCAAAUGAGCAAGUUUCACAGAAUAAAAAUUAAAACCAGGUUAGCGCCCCCUGAGC